Quercus lobata is the source of this 596-nucleotide long non-coding RNA. RefSeq lists it as uncharacterized. The transcript has 2 exons. The record is from RefSeq and is a predicted model, not a curated record. Lineage: Eukaryota; Viridiplantae; Streptophyta; Magnoliopsida; Fagales; Fagaceae.
UUCAUACACCCCUUAAACUUUGAAGUAGUGGCCAAGACACCCCCUAAACUUUUUUAUUAGCCAAUUUACUCCAUAAACUUUGCACACCUGCCAAAUUAAUACCCCAGUUAGUCUACUGUUAAAAAACUUACGGAAUAGUCACAGGAGACACACGUGACUUUUAAAAAACAAACUCAGUCCUGUUAAUUUGAAACCAGAUGGAUUGAAGAAAACAAAAGAGAGUUAGGUCUGGCCGGAGAGAAGAGAGAAAGAGGCAGCCACCGCAGAACGUCACCCACCAUCUCUUCGCCCGUGUCCCGACGGCGCUUGGUGGUUCUGCAGCUCUGUUUGACAGCCACCACUUGGAUUGUAAUGUAUGUAACUACUUUGAAUGGCACGAUAUUGAAUUCACCCCAAGGAGCAAAAGUGUUAUUAAUGGACUAUUGGACACCAACCGAAGACUUAAGAAUGAAGCAGCAAUGAAUAAGAGGAUUUUUAAGUGGCUUAGUGUUUUUUGGUGGUUUCUUGGAUCAUCAGGGGAUUGCGGUAGCCUUUUAUUUAGUAUUGAGUUUUAAUGUUAGACGUCAUCUUUACAUGAAGUGACUAUUGAUGUAGGA